RNAcentral lists this ribosomal RNA (497 nucleotides) under uncultured bacterium. RNAcentral's name for it is "partial 16S ribosomal RNA". It matches the Rfam family "Bacterial small subunit ribosomal RNA", at positions 28 to 507 of the family's 1533-position model. The record is from RNAcentral.
GAUGAACGCUGACGGCGUGCCUAAUACAUGCAAGUCGAGCGAACGGACGAGAAGCUUGCUUCUCUGAUGUUAGCGGCGGACGGGUGAGUAACACGUGGAUAACCUACCUAUAAGACUGGGAUAACUUCGGGAAACCGGAGCUAAUACCGGAUAAUAUUUUGAACCGCAUGGUUCAAAAGUGAAAGACGGUCUUGCUGUCACUUAUAGAUGGAUCCGCGCUGCAUUAGCUAGUUGGUAAGGUAACGGCUUACCAAGGCAACGAUGCAUAGCCGACCUGAGAGGGUGAUCGGCCACACUGGAACUGAGACACGGUCCAGACUCCUACGGGAGGCAGCAGUAGGGAAUCUUCCGCAAUGGGCGAAAGCCUGACGGAGCAACGCCGCGUGAGUGAUGAAGGUCUUCGGAUCGUAAAACUCUGUUAUUAGGGAAGAACAUAUGUGUAAGUAACUGUGCACGUCUUGACGGUACCUAAUCAGAAAGCCACGGCUAACUACGUG